RNAcentral lists this ribosomal RNA (499 nucleotides) under uncultured bacterium. RNAcentral describes it as "bacterial SSU rRNA". It matches the Rfam family "Bacterial small subunit ribosomal RNA", at positions 33 to 518 of the family's 1533-position model. The record is from RNAcentral.
ACGCUGGCGGCGCGUCUUAAGCAUGCAAGUCGGACGGCAAGGGUUGUGCUUGCACAACUCCUAGAGUGGCGGACUGGUGAGUAACGCGUGGGUGACCUGCCCUCGAGAUGGGGAUAGCCAUUAGAAAUAGUGGAUAAUACCGAAUACGCUCAUGACCCUGUGGGAUAUGAGGAAACAGGCUACGGCUGGCUCGAGGAUGGGCCCGCGUCCCAUUAGCUAGUUGGUGAGGUAACGGCCCACCAAGGCGACGAUGGGUAUCCGGCCUGAGAGGGUGUACGGACACAUUGGGACUGAGAUACGGCCCAAACUCCUACGGGAGGCAGCAGCUAAGAAUAUUCCGCAAUGGACGAAAGUCUGACGGAGCGACGCCGCGUGGAUGAAGAAAAGGCCGGAAGGUUGUAAAAUCCUUUUGCUGAUGAAGAAUAAGUGUGGUAGGGAAUGACCGCAUGAUGACAUUAGUCGGUGAAUAAGCCCCGGCUAACUACGUGCCAGCCGCUGC